AUACGGAGGGUGCGAGCGUUGUUCGGAAUUAUUGGGCGUAAAGAGCAUGUAGGCGGUCUGUUAAGUCUGGUGUGAAAGCCCGGGGCUCAACCCCGGAAGUGCAUUGGAUACUGGCAGACUUGAGUAUGGGAGAGGAAAGCGGAAUUCCGAGUGUAGGAGUGAAAUCCGUAGAUAUUCGGAGGAACACCAGUGGCGAAGGCGGCUUUCCGGACCAAUACUGACGCUGAGAUGCGAAAGCGUGGGGAGCGAACAGGAUUAGAUACCCCGGUAGUCC
Molecule: ribosomal RNA, 274 nt
Filed under: uncultured bacterium
Lineage: Bacteria
Description: partial 16S ribosomal RNA
Rfam family: Bacterial small subunit ribosomal RNA
Source: RNAcentral